This 297-nucleotide ribosomal RNA is filed under the name Citrobacter freundii. RNAcentral describes it as "partial 23S ribosomal RNA". It matches the Rfam family "Bacterial large subunit ribosomal RNA", at positions 2634 to 2925 of the family's 2925-position model. Lineage: Bacteria; Pseudomonadati; Pseudomonadota; Gammaproteobacteria; Enterobacterales; Enterobacteriaceae. The record is from RNAcentral.
GUCCCUAUCUGCCGUGGGCGCUGGAGAAUUGAGGGGGGCUGCUCCUAGUACGAGAGGACCGGAGUGGACGCAUCACUGGUGUUCGGGUUGUCAUGCCAAUGGCAUUGCCCGGUAGCUAAAUGCGGAAAAGAUAAGUGCUGAAAGCAUCUAAGCACGAAACUUGCCCCGAGAUGAGUUCUCCCUGAGACUUUAAGUCUCCUGAAGGAACGUUAAAGACUAUGACGUUGAUAGGUCGGGUGUGUAAGUGUAGCGAUACAUUGAGCUAACCGAUACUAAUGAACCGUGAGGCUUAACCUU